This 497-nucleotide ribosomal RNA is filed under the name uncultured bacterium. RNAcentral describes it as "partial 16S ribosomal RNA". It matches the Rfam family "Bacterial small subunit ribosomal RNA", at positions 28 to 507 of the family's 1533-position model. The record is from RNAcentral.
GAUGAACGCUGGCGGCGUGCCUAAUACAUGCAAGUCGAGCGAACGGACGAGAAGCUUGCUUUUCUGAUGUUAGCGGCGGACGGGUGAGUAACACGUGGAUAACCUACCUAUAAGACUGGGAUAACUUCGGGAAACCGGAGCUAAUACCGGAUAAUAUUUUGAACCGCAUGGUUCAAAAGUGAAAGACGGUCUUGCUGUCACUUAUAGAUGGAUCCGCGCUGCAUUAGCUAGUUGGUAAGGUAACGGCUUACCAAGGCAACGAUGCAUAGCCGACCUGAGAGGGUGAUCGGCCACACUGGAACUGAGACACGGUCCAGACUUCUACGGGAGGCAGCAGUAGGGAAUCUUCCGCAAUGGGCGAAAGCCUGACGGAGCAACGCCGCGUGAGUGAUGAAGGUCUUCGGAUCGUAAAACUCUGUUAUUAGGGAAGAACAUAUGUGUAAGUAACUGUGCACAUCUUGACGGUACCUAAUCAGAAAGCCACGGCUAACUACGUG